CGGAGGGGCGUAGCGUUGUUCGGAAUUACUGGGCGUAAAGACGCACGUAGGCGGAUUGGAAAGUUAGGGGGUGGAAAUCCCGGGGCGUCAACCCCGGAACCUGCCUUCAAAACUCCCAGUCUGGAGGUCGAGAGAGGUGAGUGGAAUUCCGAGUGUAGAGGUGAAAUUCGUAGAUAUUCGGAGGAACACCAGUGGCGAAGGCGGCUCACUGGCUCGAACCUGACGCUGAGGUGCGAAAGCGUGGGGAGCAAACAGGAUU
RNAcentral lists this ribosomal RNA (259 nucleotides) under uncultured bacterium. RNAcentral's name for it is "partial 16S ribosomal RNA". It matches the Rfam family "Bacterial small subunit ribosomal RNA", at positions 526 to 779 of the family's 1533-position model. The record is from RNAcentral.